Molecule: long non-coding RNA, 951 nt
Filed under: Saimiri boliviensis boliviensis (Bolivian squirrel monkey)
Lineage: Eukaryota; Metazoa; Chordata; Mammalia; Primates; Cebidae
Description: lncRNA (ENSSBOG00000036790.1)
Source: RNAcentral
CCAGAGCAGCAUCAGUGAGCAGUCACGGGUGAGGGGCUCCAGUAACCGAAGAGCGGCUCAGCCAGGAGCGAGAGUCAGCCAGACACAGGAGUGCACCUGCAUCCUCUGCAGCUGCCAUUGUGUGGGGCUUCUGGAGGAUGGGGACCCUGAUCUCUCAGCUCCACCCCCCCACCACGCCCUGGCCUUGAAGCAAACAUUACCAGGUGCACCCAGCAAGGCUGGUAUCGUCUUUGGAUUCUCUUUAUAACGCUAUGGGAAUAUAGGAAGAUAGAGCUCUAAGUGGAGGGUAAUCUUUGGGUGUUGGAAGUGGAGCCGCUCCCCUGCAAAGCCGCCCUCAGCAUCCCAGGGAUCACCACAAGCCCCACUACCUGGUGCCCAGAAAGACACAGGACACCCUUGGAGUGGAGAACUUGACCUCUUUGCUGCCCUCGGACUUGGUGCAGGGUAGCCGGCGGCAGGUGCCGUGGAUGGGGCUGCGCAGCAGCGAUGGUGCCGUUUACUCUGCCCCUUUUACCGCCAAGGUUCUUCGUGUGAUGCUGUCUGCUGGUCCCAAAGGAGCUGUGUUUGCCAUCCCUGACCAGAGCGUCGUCAGAGCCUGCUGCAGCCGGGAGCUGUGCUUGCCUAAGAGCCAGGAGCAACUGGUCCCAAGUGGGCAUUACAGGGUUAACUCGUGUAUCUGGCCAAGGCAUGGAAUCAAAGUAGGAUGAAUCACCUCUUGUGCAUUUCUUAUUUCAGCCCUCCUGCCACUUUAGCAGUUUCUAAUGUUUAAUUUCCUUGUUUCAUUCCACAGACAGAGAAUGCUGAUUCACCCUGCAGUGGAGCAUGCCUAACGUGUCAACAGCUAAAGGGCCAGUGACAGUGUGGUUGUCUGGGCAACGGAAGAAGUCACCCACACAGUCACUUAAAGGUGAGCUGUGAGAGUUAAGCACGCGGGAGCUUUUCACUGAGUGA